This 522-nucleotide ribosomal RNA is filed under the name Parasesarma guttatum. RNAcentral's name for it is "partial 12S ribosomal RNA". The record is from RNAcentral. Lineage: Eukaryota; Metazoa; Arthropoda; Malacostraca; Decapoda; Sesarmidae.
GAUUAGUUUUUAGUUAAGUGAAAAAUUUUUAGUAAUUAUAAAUAAUAAAAGGUAGAAUUUAAUUGUUAUUUUAUAUAAUGUUGAUAAUUUAAAUUGAAACUAUAAAGUCUAAUUAUAAACUAGGAUUAGAUACCCUAUUAUUUUAGAAAGAAAAAAUAAAAACUAAACUAUUAUUAGUUAUAUACUUUAAAAUUAAAAAAUUUGGCGGUGAUUUAAUCUUUUCAGAGGAAUUUGUUUUUUAAUCGAUAAUCCACGAAAAAUCUUACUUGUCUUUGUUUGUUAUAAUUCAGUUUGUAUACCAUCAUUAUCAGAUAAUUCUAAAAAGAAAAAUUAUCAAAUAUAGUUAAUUAUCGAAAUUAGAUCAUGGUGCAGCUUAUAGAUAAGUUAAAAUGAAUUACAAUAAAUUGUUUUAAAUGAAUUGAUAAAAUAAUUUUUAUUAUGAAGGAGGAUUUGAUAGUAUUAUAAUUUUAAUAAGUUUAUAAGACAAUGGCUCUAAAUCAUGUACAUAUCGCCCGUCGCUUU